Molecule: long non-coding RNA, 1047 nt
Filed under: Apteryx owenii (little spotted kiwi)
Lineage: Eukaryota; Metazoa; Chordata; Aves; Apterygiformes; Apterygidae
Description: lncRNA (ENSAOWG00000011355.1)
Source: RNAcentral
GCGGGAUUCAAGCAGGAGUUAGGCGCUGGGGGGGCCCAGGGGCUCCGUCCGAUGCGCGCUAGGCGCAGGGGUGAGACGCUAAUCCAGCAAGCGUCGGCUGUCGCUGACGGGCGCCCUCGCUUAAUGACACAUCCGCCCGCUGGGCAGCGGUUAGGAACCGGGACAGGACGGGCCGGGCCGGGCCGGGCCGGGCGUUGUGUGAGUUGUGGAAGGACGUCUUGAAAAAUGGAAGGAGCUCUCUCUAACUCAUCGCACGUGUGCAGCCUUUGCAUGGAGCGCAUUUCCAGUGGGUCAUUGGAAGUACCAAAGAGGCAUCUGAGGAGUUGUUUUGUUUGUUUGUUUUAUUAUAUCUUUUGCUGCUGUUGUGUCACAGAAGGAAAGUCUGGGAAUCUGAACAAAUCCCAAAUGAUGAUGCCAUCUGUAGCUAGGAUGUCUAACACCAUAUAAAAUACAGAACCACAUUUGUCUGCACGGAAUGGGGCCUUGAGACUAUCAGUUUGCUGUUUGCCUGAUGAUGAACGAAGUUAGUAGCAAUAACUUCUGGUCACUACCUGCUUCUAUUGGUCUGACCCACUCUGAGUUUGAAGACCUUCCAGGCAUCCCCAAAAAGCCACUUGUGUGGCUGCAAUCAAGCAGAUUGAGACAGGAAGAUGGAUGAGAUGGCUCUGGCAGUCGGUAUGUUUCUAGAGCAUUUCCAUUUGUACGGUUACCCAGCUGAAGUAAGAUGUUACUUCCUUUUUUUUUUUUUUUUUAUGGCUGCUUGGUGGAGUUUAUUUGAGUACUGUUAUUUUUUCCACUGGUCAGUUUACUUUAAUUAAUUUCAGAGAGCUCAGACCUUUUUAAAUGAGCACACUUCCCCCCCCCCCCCCCCCCAUUGGUAAAUCCAGCUAAAACAGCCUAGAAUGAAUUGGAGCAUUGGCCUAGGAAGGAAGGGCUUCACAGCCCAUUACUGAUCCCCUGAGCCAUCUCAUCCCCUUGACUGCCAUGUAAUGUUUGUUUAAUGCAAAAUUUCCAUAUAGAACAAAAUAAAACCCAAAAAGCAGGACA